This 1064-nucleotide long non-coding RNA is filed under the name Calidris pygmaea (Spoon-billed sandpiper). RNAcentral describes it as "lncRNA (ENSCPGG00000003294.1)". The record is from RNAcentral. Lineage: Eukaryota; Metazoa; Chordata; Aves; Charadriiformes; Scolopacidae.
CAGCGAAACUGCUGAUAAAGUUAAUUAAAUUAGGACAGCGAUGGGGUCAUUUUUCUGACACACAUAUGCUGUUUUCUGUCUCGGAAUGGCGAGACUUUGGAGGGACGAUGUGGCAUAAAACAAUCGAGGGGGAUGAAAAAGAGGAGAAGGAGAUAAAAGCCGUCCGCGAGCUGUGGAAUGCUGUGCUAGAGACUUUAAAAGCAAUGAAAGCGGAGCGGGAAGUAGCCUGUGCAGCUGCUCAAAUGUUAGGUCCGGGAGCAGCCGCCUUAAAACCUCAAGGCAAGCCUGGACCUAUUGCGCGGUUCUUCGGACUGCCCGCGGUAAAGGGAAUGACCGGGUCCACAUAUAAAACUGUUGCUGAAAUUCGAGCUAAUGAGACCCCUGACCCUCCUGGGGAGGGAAAAGAUUUGCCGCUAAACCCCUUACAAAACUCAGAAAAAGCGGAAGUAACUGGUGCUAAGCCAAAACAGAAAAGUAAUGCACAUGCGGAAGUGCCUGCUCAGAAAACUCCAGCAGAGGAGGGGCCUGAAACAUCUACGGAUCUCAUCGAUUUGGGAGGAGCAGCAUCUCGGCCUCCGCCCACGGCACCUCCUCCCGCACCUCCGCCUCCCGUGUAUCCACCGCUGCCCCCCUCCAGCGACUUGUCUGGUCCGUCAACUCCGCCUCCCGACAAGAGUCGUAAACUGUCCUCAGACACCACAGAAAAAAUGUUACAGACAGUUUUAAGGCGGCUCGAGGAGUUAGACUUACGUGCGGGGAGGAAGGAUGAUAACACGCCUUCAUGGCUAGUGAAUCCCUCAACACCUCCGAGGACUACACGCUGGAGUGGCAUUAUUAGAGACGCUGUAUUAGAAGGACAGUGGGGAGCAGCCGCUAGUCUGGGCGGAACUCCACCUUUCGCAUGUCCUGUCAUACAAGAAAACAAUACUGGAAAAUGGGAACCACAUGAUUGGAAAAUUCUACAACAAGCUCGCACCACCAUCUCAACUUAUGGAGUAAAAUCUGAAGCUACCCGACAAAUUGUCAGCUGGAUUUUUUCUGCGGAUCUGAUGUGUCCAUAUGAU